Gadus macrocephalus (Pacific cod) is the source of this 1676-nucleotide long non-coding RNA. RefSeq lists it as uncharacterized. The record is from RefSeq and is a predicted model, not a curated record. NCBI's taxonomy places the organism in Eukaryota, Metazoa, Chordata, Actinopteri, Gadiformes, Gadidae. The transcript has 2 exons.
GACGACUGUUGGAUGUUUCUAUGCUUUAGGGCGAAGUUUCUGUGGUACACGCUAAACAGGAGAGAGGAGUUUACGAGGAACUCCCAUUCAUGGGAUUCAUGUGUGUGAGUGUCCUUUUGUUUUGUAUGCGCGUAUUCUCCCCACACACUCGCAAAUAGAGUUGGGUAUCGUUUGGGUUUAUCCGAUACCGGUGCCUACGCGGUACUUUUCAAACGGCUUCGGUGCUAAAACGGUUCUCGAACCGGUACUUAAAAAAGCGAAACCGCACACACUUGCAUAUUAUGAGUUUCACAUUAAGCAGAAAGUCAGCGGACACUGAGUUGAAUGGCAACGGUGUUUGCUAGCCUACUUGAUAUGCAAGAUUUACGGUUGGCAUUCAAUUACCUGACUUACCCAAAGAGGAAAGGCUGCUGUGAGUGCUGUGACUGAUAAAUAUCUUUUUAAAAAAUACAAAUAAUUACAAAUAAUUACUCGCUGAAAGCAGGCAGGCACGUAGCUAUACUGUUCGUGUUUACACUUGCGUGCAUGGCGCAACAUUACUGCCAAAGUCAAAUUAGGUAAUAUAACGCAGGUAAGCAAGGCAAACACAGGGGACGCCAACAUUGUUUUCAACCGCUUGGUACCGCGCCAAAGUAUUUGAAGCGAAUAAUCGACACUGUUUGUGAUUUGUUUAUUUGGUUUUGAACAGAUAGUUUUGGAUGCAUGCAUCGGCUUUAAGUUUGUUUGUUACUUUGAAAUUACAUUCGCUCGCAGCAUGCACGCACGUUCAUUCAUUCAUUCACGCACGCAUGCACCCACUACAACCUGCCGAUCUUCAAUCAAAACAACAUCAAAUAAGUGAUGCCGCAGCGCGUUGAGAAGUCCGUCCCGAGUCUCGAGGGGUCCAUAGGCUUUAUGGUUUAUAUGUUUGAAAGCCGUGCCACACUCUUUUGCCAGUUGGCCUGAAAUACCACGCCUCGCAGUCAUGGACCUAGUCAUACGGUUAAUCUACGUCACGUUUUCUGGAACGCCGCCAUUUGCACGACCGAUCUCGCCAAGUAUGGCCGCCCACACUGCUCAUCGGAAUGUUGGAGAGAGAGAUAUCUGGAAAAAAAUAAUCGAUUUUAGGCUCCAAUCCUUAUUUGUUACCCCUAGUUUUUUCUAGUCCAUUAGUAUCGGCCUCACGCUUGCCUCAAAUCAAUCUUCAUGACGUAUAUAUUUAUUUAGUCCACAACCCCUCCCCAUACAGUGGAGAUAUCUUGAAAGCGUUCAAGAGCACUGAUGCCUGCCAAUAUGCUGUGGCUGGAUGGGUGAAGGACGCUAAAGUGAGGCACUUGGCCACCAAUAAUCUUUAUCUGAUAAUGGCAACGUUAAGUACUAUAUAUUUGUGACUUCUUGUGAACAAUGAACAAGUUUGUGGUGGGUUACUAUCAUUGAUCGUUGAAAUCAGUCAUCAAAUCAUAGACGAUAAUUUCGCCGGGGACGCUUGGGACGAGUGUUCUUCACGAUUCACUUUGUAUUAAUAACAAUACUCUUUGGCUGGGACGAUGUCAACAUUGGGUAUAUGGAGCAGAACAUAGUGGGUCAUAUGUCAACGUUUUUUGUAUGCAUUUUAUUCAUUAGUAAGCUACAUGGAUAUGCCAUCUUUCAGAACCUUUCAUUACCUGCACUAAAGAGAAUAAAAGAGCGCAUCCUCA